UACGUAGGGGGCAAGCGUUGUCCGGAUUUAUUGGGCGUAAAGAGCGUGUAGGCGGCCUGGAGGGUCAGCUGUGAAAACUCGAGGCUCAACCUCGAGACGUCGGUUGAAACCACCUGGCUAGAGUCCGGAAGAGGAGAGUGGAAUUCCCGGUGUAGCGGUGAAAUGCGCAGAUAUCGGGAAGAACACCCGUGGCGAAGGCGGCUCUCUGGGACGGUACUGACGCUGAGACGCGAAAGCGUGGGGAGCGAACAGG
This 253-nucleotide ribosomal RNA is filed under the name uncultured bacterium. RNAcentral describes it as "partial 16S ribosomal RNA". It matches the Rfam family "Bacterial small subunit ribosomal RNA", at positions 524 to 776 of the family's 1533-position model. The record is from RNAcentral.